AAAGCUCACCCGACCCGAACACUGUGAGGAUUGACAGAUUAAAAGCUCUUUCUUGAUUCGGUGGCUAGUGGUGCAUGGCCGUUCUUAGUUCGUGGUAUGAGUUGUCUGGUUAAUUCCGAUAACGAACGAGACUUUAACCUGCUAAAUAGUACGCCCGCAAUAUUAUGUGGAAUCCCGCUUAGGGGCUUCGGCCUCUCUGCGGGCCCACGUAAGCAGGUGAGACUUCUUAGAGGGACUGGUGUCCUACAAGGCGCACGAGAAAGAGCAAUAACAGGUCUGUGAUGCCCUAAGAUGUUCGGGGCCGCACGCGUGCUACAAUGACGAUGCUAAUGAGUUUGAUAUUCUGGCUCGGAAGGGUCGGGCAAACUUGUUAAUCAUCGUCGUGUCUGGGAUUGGGGUUUGUAAUUAUCCCCCAUGAACCAGGAAUUCCUAGUAAGUACAAGUCAUAAGCUUGUGCUGAUUACGUCCCUGCCCUUUGUACACACCGCCCGUCGCUACUACCGAUUGAACGGUUUAGCAAGGUCAUUGGAUCGGCUCUCAUGCGGCGC
This 548-nucleotide ribosomal RNA is filed under the name Diplectanum aequans. Its description in RNAcentral is "bacterial SSU rRNA". It matches the Rfam family "Eukaryotic small subunit ribosomal RNA", at positions 1210 to 1731 of the family's 1831-position model. The record is from RNAcentral. Lineage: Eukaryota; Metazoa; Platyhelminthes; Monogenea; Dactylogyridea; Diplectanidae.